This 840-nucleotide ribosomal RNA is filed under the name Triticum aestivum (bread wheat). RNAcentral's name for it is "partial small subunit ribosomal RNA". Lineage: Eukaryota; Viridiplantae; Streptophyta; Magnoliopsida; Poales; Poaceae. The record is from RNAcentral.
AUGGCAACCGCGGCGGCGGCGGCGCCGAGGCACAGCUGCGCGAAGCUCUCGGUGGCGGUCGAGGACCCCAAGGCGCCGGGCGGCGGCGUAUUCGUGAAGGCCACGUGGCUCCCCACCCGCUUCUCCCUCGCCGUCACCGACGGCGCCGGCGCCUGGGUCGCCGACGCCUCCGACGCCGAGGUGCGCCUCCGGGCCGAGCAGUGGGACCAGCCCGUCUCCGAGUACCUCGCGCUCGCCGAGCGCUACCUCGCCUUCCACCAGCCCUCCUCCACCUACUCCUUCCACGAGGCUGGCGCCGGCCGCAGGUUGUCAUGGACAUUCGAAAAACAAGGUACCAAGCUGGAAUGGCGUUGGAAACUGCAGCCGGCACCACACCCACAACAGACUAUAGCUGAGGUCUUGGAUUUUCUUAUGGAUGCGAAUAUACGCUUGAGUGAAGAGGUUGUCAGGAAGACGCAAUCAUUUGAGAAGCUGAAACAAGAAGCUGAGAAUUGCUUGCAACAGAGUGAAAGAUUUAACACCGAGAAGGCUGAGUUUGAGCAAGCCUCCUUUACAAAGUUUGUGGCCGUUCUGAACUCGAAGAAGAGCAAGCUGAGACAGCUCAAGGACAGAAUCGCGGCGCUCGAAUCUGCCGACAAGGCUCCAAAGGAGGAGGAGGAGGAGGGCCACUCCACCGACAGAACAGAGCCUAUCGAGGAAGGGAGCGACAAAGAUCACUGCGUCAACGACGAGCCCUCGGAGACGGGCGGCGGCGGCGACCCCCACAGCUCCCCCGAGAAGUCCGCCGCCGCGGCCGCCACCUCCAGGGGCCGGAGGGGGCGCAAGAGGACGAGGAAGUGA